Molecule: non-coding RNA, 542 nt
Organism: Salvelinus sp. IW2-2015
Lineage: Eukaryota; Metazoa; Chordata; Actinopteri; Salmoniformes; Salmonidae
Source: RefSeq, a predicted model, not a curated record
AGUUAGAUGUUUCUGGCUCUAGAGCUGGGAGGGUUAGUAGUUAGACGUGUUCUGGCUCUAGAGCUGGGAGGGUUAGUAGUUAGAUGUGUUCUGGCUCUAGGGCUGGGAGGGUUAGUAGUUAGAUGUGUUCUGGCUCUAGAGCUGGGAGGGUUAGUAGUUAGAUGUGUUCUGGCUUUAGAGCUGGGAGGGUUAGUAGUUAGAUGUGUUCUGGCUCUUGGGCUGGGAGGGUUAGUAGUUAGAUGUGUUCUGGCUCUAGGGCUGGGAGGGUUAGUAGUUAGAUGUGUUCUGGCUCUAGAGCUGGGAGGGUUAGUAGUUAGAUGUGUUCUGGAUCUAGAGCUGGGAGGGUUAGUAGUUAGAUGUGUUCCAGAGCUGGGAGGGUUAGUAGUUAGAUGUGUUCUGGCUUUAGAGCUGGGAGGGUUAGUAGUUAGAUGUGUUCUGGCUCUAGGGCUGGGAGGGUUAGUAGUUAGAUGUGUUCUGGCUCUAGGGCUGGGAGGGUUAGUAGUUAGAUGUGUUCUGGCUCUAGAGCUGGGAGGGUUAGUAGU